Entelurus aequoreus (snake pipefish) is the source of this 1985-nucleotide long non-coding RNA. RefSeq lists it as uncharacterized. The record is from RefSeq and is a predicted model, not a curated record. The transcript is spliced from 4 exons. Lineage: Eukaryota; Metazoa; Chordata; Actinopteri; Syngnathiformes; Syngnathidae.
UUUCUUGCGCGGCCCGGUACCAAUCGGUCCGCGGACCGGUCCGCGGACCGGUACCGGGCUGCAGCCCGGUGGUUGGGGACCACUGCUCUAAGGUACAGUCCCACGUGCUCCUCUAUUUAUUCGGGAGGUCCCGAGUUAACAUCACUGAGGCUGCUUCUGAAGGGAGGGGUAAUGCAAGCAGCCCCAGUAGACACGAUACAUGAUUGUUCAGAAUGGAAAUGUGCUGACACUUGUGAUUUCGCCCUGUCUCUGUUUUGUCUGCGUUGAGGUACUCGAUGUCCGUCCUUGGCUGUCAGCAGGCAAGGUCUGGAAACAAACUGCUGAUACGAGACAACUCGCAAAGCAAGAUUACAAGUUGUGCCUUUGCACAGGUAGAAAAGUACAACUUCAGCACAAUUGAUAAUAACUAUAGCAACGGCCUUUAAGCAUAAGAGUUGUGUGAUAACUUAUACAUAAUUAUUCCAACAGUAUGGCGCGAGAGGCUGUUGAAGUAAAAAGUGUUUCUCGCCUUCCUGUCGGUCAUUUUUUCUUAAUAAUGAUCUGGCUUCAGCCAGCGUCAUCUCACCAGACCCUCGGGUGCCGUGAAUGUCAAUCAAGUGACGAAAGUGACGUCUUGGUGAAGAUUGAUGAUCGAUCAUGUUUAGGUGUAUUUUUUUUAAUGCCUGGCUAGCGAUGGACUGACACAACCCUCCACCAUCAACCGCUAGCUUGCCAUUCCCGUAAUGGGCGCCCCUGACUUAGAGGCUUCUUCCGGACUAAACUCCUCCAAACGUGCCUGACUGGAGUUUGCUUGUCCCUGGGGAAAACCUAAGUUUGUCCAAAACGUCGUUAGAAGUGGCGCGUCCAAACUACGGAUGACAAGGAUUGGCCCAAAGUGUGUUUUUGCCUACAUUUAGUACCGUGUGAAUUCAAUUAAAAUGAUUAUGCCGCCCUUUUGUGGGUGAAGAUGGAUUUGAUGGUCAGUGAAUAUUAAUUCCAUUUGCAAAAUGCUUGAGCACAGUAUCAGUAUAUAUGACCCAAUCCAAACAACUUUCCCCACUCAUGGUAUAAAUUAAGUAUAACCAACAAAUAAGGUCAACCCACGGUCGCACAUGACACACCAGCUCAUUGAACUUUGUGGACAUGAUAAAACAUGUAUAUAUAAUUUAAAGUUACACACAUUGAUGCAAAACACUUUCUCCGUACUUCUCCAUGUUUGGUGCAUUUCAGCUGCUUGAUAUUUCUCAAUGAUUACUGUCAUGAUCAGUUUCCCGGAUCAUGUUUUGUUUAGUUAAAGACUCCCUUAGUUCUGUUUUACCACCCCCGGGUUUGUUUUUCUCUUGGUCGCCAUGGGUGCUGAUUAUAUCCACCUGCCUCUGAUUUAGUGUUCAUGACGCUCACCUGCUCCCGGGCACUAAUCGGAGAACAUUUUAUUCCUGCUUUUUUGUCUUGUUUGCUCCAUGCAACAAGUUACGUGUGUUUACUGUUUGAUUCCUGAGCUAAGCUUCGCCAUUUGUUUGCUUGUUUCCCAUGCUAAGCUUUUCCAUAGCUACCCGUGCUAUCGGCACGCUCUCCUGUAUUUGUGGAUUUUGCCUGAUUUAUGAAAAAUAAAUCAUUGUCUUACCUGCACGCUGCUUCCGGAGUUCCGUCUGCAUCUUGGGGAAACAAUCCGCGCAGUCACAUGCGACCCCGCCGUAACAGAAUACAAAACUUUAAGGAGGUCGUGGGGGAAAGAAACAAGGGUGGACUGCAAAAGCUGCUUGAAGAAUCUUCGGUGCGGCUUCAGAGACAAAAGUCUCUUUCCUGCGCAGGUGUCAUCUCGCUAACAGGAUGUGGCAAAGGAGGAGGCGGGUGUUCGUACCUUGGACCAAAGCGGAGCAUUGGAAGGUUCUGGUGCCCAGUUGGAGCUUCACAUCUUUGACGGAGCUGCUUGGGUCCAGGCUGAGGAGCAGUACCGCCUGAGGGAUUGAAGGUCACGGUGUCACGGCGCGGGCUCAAACUCGGCU